AAGGUGUAAAUCCACAUGCUAUUGACUUCUGUCCGACAACAAUAACAUGCACACUGUAUCAUUUUAAAAAAUAAUUUAAGAAUUUUAAUUUAUUUAGAGCUGUACAUUUCAUCCUCAUCACUAUACAUUUUAGUUUUACAUAAGGUGCUACAUAUGUGCUAAAAUUAUCUUUAUUUUUUUCGGUGAACCUGCAUAAAAAUGAUUAUUUCUUGACCAGCAUGAGUAGUUAUCACAUUUAUUAAUUUAAAUGAAAUGUUUGGGUUUAAACUGUGUAUAUAUGAGAGGAUGAAAGAGGAGGAGUUUAACAUCUCAGAUGAUCUUGUUACAUUUGACUGUCACAAAGCUCAGUCCUGCUGCAGUGAACACACACAUGUACAAUGAUACUUCAUUCAGUCAUUCUGCUCUCUGCCUUGGCAUGUGUGAGUUUUGGAGAUGAAAUCACACAAGACAGCACUGAAGAGUCUGCUGCAGAGGGUUCAACUGUUACAUUAUCCUGCAGUUAUUCAUCUGCAAAUUCACUUCUCUGGUACCGUCAGUAUCCUGGAUCAGCUCCUCAAUUUCUUGUGCUUAUAAUAGAGGGUGUGAAAGAGACCAAGACAGAGACAUCGGAGGUAGAUCCCAGAUUCUCUACUAAGAUCAGAAAAGAAAAACAAGCCACAAAAGAGAUCAAACGUGUGGAUCUGGAGAUCUCCUCUGCUGCAGUAUCAGACUCUGCUCUGUAUUACUGUGCUCUGAGGCCCACAGUCACAGGAAACACAUCAACACUGUACAAAAACCUGACACAGCUGAAGGUGUACUACUAAUUUCCUGUCAUAUAAUCUAUCUUAAUUAAAGGUAGAUUAUGAAUUCAUAAUGUAUAAAUAUGUGAAGGUGAAAAGUGCUGCAGUGACAUGAUAGAUUAGAUAGAUUUUUUUUUUUUUUUUUAAGUUAACUUAAUGCUUUUACUGCUCUUCGUACACACUGUACUCUUAGGAUGUUCUGCAAACCACUGAAUGAUUGUUGUUUUAAAUAGAAUUUAACUUGCUUUUUGUGUCUAAGCUGUGGCGACUAUACAAGACCAUACAAUUAAUACCUGAUUUAUAAAUCUACAGUACUAUAACAACCAAAGUUUGAGGAAUUAAUCAACAUCACAUUCUGUUUGUGCUCUGAGGAUUUUUCUUGUACAUGUUAGUAAGUAACCACAAGAGGGUGCUAUAAACUACAGUAUAUGAAUAGUGAUGACACUGUGGACUAUGAAACAGAUCUGAUCUGUUCUUUCAUUUAGAUCUCUGGAAGAGGGAGGGUUUAAAGCAUUGACAUCAGAUGUGAUCUUGAUAAGUGUCUGUAAGAGAAGUCUGUUCAACAGAUCAUA
This is a non-coding RNA of Ctenopharyngodon idella (grass carp), 1351 nucleotides long. Lineage: Eukaryota; Metazoa; Chordata; Actinopteri; Cypriniformes; Xenocyprididae. The record is from the annotation of a RefSeq genome assembly.